GCCCGUUUGGUGUAAUGGUAACAUUCCCCUCUAUUAUUAGUGUAUUGUUACGGAGAUCCAGGUUCGAAUCCUGGGGCGGGCA
This is a non-coding RNA of Aspergillus melleus, 82 nucleotides long. The record is from the annotation of a RefSeq genome assembly. Lineage: Eukaryota; Fungi; Ascomycota; Eurotiomycetes; Eurotiales; Aspergillaceae.